Molecule: non-coding RNA, 426 nt
Filed under: Chaetura pelagica (chimney swift)
Lineage: Eukaryota; Metazoa; Chordata; Aves; Apodiformes; Apodidae
Description: Eukaryotic large subunit ribosomal RNA
Rfam family: Eukaryotic large subunit ribosomal RNA
Source: Rfam by way of RNAcentral
UUUUGAGCAUCACUUUAGUCGGGUGCUGCAGAGACAUCAGAGGUGUAGAAUGAAUGGGAGGCCCCACAGGUGUGCAACUCAGGCCCCGAUCCAGUUGCCAGUGAAAUAAUACUGAUCAUUUUUUCUACUUACCCAGUGAUGUGUGUGUGAGCCCCAGAUGGCUCUCACUUCUGAUGCCAAGUCCGUGGCAUAAUCUGCUCUGGGGACAUGGUCAGCUGAGGAGUUUGAUGAGUAUACCUGUGUCAAACCUUAACACAGGUGUCCAAAGGUGAGCUGAGGGAGAACAGAAAGCAGGACAGAAAAAUCUUGGUUUUCAGUACAAAUAUCUUCCAGAAAAGUAGGGCCUCAUGAUCCUUUUGACUUCUUGGGUUUUAACCAGGCAUCCAGGAGACAGUGGAUGAGGAGCUCCAGGCAUGCAUUUCCACA